This 2655-nucleotide ribosomal RNA is filed under the name Enterobacter kobei. RNAcentral describes it as "partial 23S ribosomal RNA". It matches the Rfam family "Bacterial large subunit ribosomal RNA". Lineage: Bacteria; Pseudomonadati; Pseudomonadota; Gammaproteobacteria; Enterobacterales; Enterobacteriaceae. The record is from RNAcentral. RNAcentral also lists the same sequence under 1 other name.
CGAACGGGGAGCAGCCCGGAGUCUGAAUCAGCUUGUGUGUUAGUGGAACGGUCUGGAAAGUCCGACGGUACAGGGUGAUAGUCCCGUACACGAAAGCACACAGGUUGUGAACUCGAAGAGUAGGGCGGGACACGUGGUAUCCUGUCUGAAUAUGGGGGGACCAUCCUCCAAGGCUAAAUACUCCUGACUGACCGAUAGUGAACCAGUACCGUGAGGGAAAGGCGAAAAGAACCCCGGCGAGGGGAGUGAAAAAGAACCUGAAACCGUGUACGUACAAGCAGUGGGAGCCUACUUGUUAGGUGACUGCGUACCUUUUGUAUAAUGGGUCAGCGACUUAUAUUCUGUAGCAAGGUUAACCGUAUAGGGGAGCCGAAGGGAAACCGAGUCUUAACUGGGCGUUAAGUUGCAGGGUAUAGACCCGAAACCCGGUGAUCUAGCCAUGGGCAGGUUGAAGGUUGGGUAACACUAACUGGAGGACCGAACCGACUAAUGUUGAAAAAUUAGCGGAUGACCUGUGGCUGGGGGUGAAAGGCCAAUCAAACCGGGAGAUAGCUGGUUCUCCCCGAAAGCUAUUUAGGUAGCGCCUCGUGAACUCAUCUUCGGGGGUAGAGCACUGUUUCGGCUAGGGGGCCAUCCCGGCUUACCAACCCGAUGCAAACUACGAAUACCGAAGAAUGUUAUCACGGGAGACACACGGCGGGUGCUAACGUCCGUCGUGAAGAGGGAAACAACCCAGACCGCCAGCUAAGGUCCCAAAGUCAUGGUUAAGUGGGAAACGAUGUGGGAAGGCACAGACAGCCAGGAUGUUGGCUUAGAAGCAGCCAUCAUUUAAAGAAAGCGUAAUAGCUCACUGGUCGAGUCGGCCUGCGCGGAAGAUGUAACGGGGCUAAACCAUGCACCGAAGCUGCGGCAGCGACGCUUAUGCGUUGUUGGGUAGGGGAGCGUUCUGUAAGCCGUUGAAGGUGGCCUGUGAGGGUUGCUGGAGGUAUCAGAAGUGCGAAUGCUGACAUAAGUAACGAUAAAGCGGGUGAAAAGCCCGCUCGCCGGAAGACCAAGGGUUCCUGUCCAACGUUAAUCGGGGCAGGGUGAGUCGACCCCUAAGGCGAGGCCGAAAGGCGUAGUCGAUGGGAAACAGGUUAAUAUUCCUGUACUUGGUGUUACUGCGAAGGGGGGACGGAGAAGGCUAUGUUAGCCGGGCGACGGUUGUCCCGGUUUAAGCAUGUAGGCGGAGGUUCCAGGUAAAUCCGGUACCUUUUUAACGCUGAGGUGUGAUGACGAGGCACUACGGUGCUGAAGUAACAAAUGCCCUGCUUCCAGGAAAAGCCUCUAAGCAUCAGGUAACACGAAAUCGUACCCCAAACCGACACAGGUGGUCAGGUAGAGAAUACCAAGGCGCUUGAGAGAACUCGGGUGAAGGAACUAGGCAAAAUGGUGCCGUAACUUCGGGAGAAGGCACGCUGAUAUGUAGGUGAAGCCCCUGCGGGUGGAGCUGAAAUCAGUCGAAGAUACCAGCUGGCUGCAACUGUUUAUUAAAAACACAGCACUGUGCAAACACGAAAGUGGACGUAUACGGUGUGACGCCUGCCCGGUGCCGGAAGGUUAAUUGAUGGGGUUAGCGGCAACGCGAAGCUCUUGAUCGAAGCCCCGGUAAACGGCGGCCGUAACUAUAACGGUCCUAAGGUAGCGAAAUUCCUUGUCGGGUAAGUUCCGACCUGCACGAAUGGCGUAAUGAUGGCCAGGCUGUCUCCACCCGAGACUCAGUGAAAUUGAACUCGCUGUGAAGAUGCAGUGUACCCGCGGCAAGACGGAAAGACCCCGUGAACCUUUACUAUAGCUUGACACUGAACACUGGUCCUUGAUGUGUAGGAUAGGUGGGAGGCUUUGAAGCGUGGACGCCAGUCUGCGUGGAGCCGACCUUGAAAUACCACCCUUUAAUGGCUGGUGUUCUAACGUAGACCCGUAAUCCGGGUUGCGGACAGUGUCUGGUGGGUAGUUUGACUGGGGCGGUCUCCUCCCAAAGAGUAACGGAGGAGCACGAAGGUUAGCUAAUCCUGGUCGGACAUCAGGAGGUUAGUGCAAUGGCAUAAGCUAGCUUGACUGCGAGAGUGACGGCUCGAGCAGGUGCGAAAGCAGGUCAUAGUGAUCCGGUGGUUCUGAAUGGAAGGGCCAUCGCUCAACGGAUAAAAGGUACUCCGGGGAUAACAGGCUGAUACCGCCCAAGAGUUCAUAUCGACGGCGGUGUUUGGCACCUCGAUGUCGGCUCAUCACAUCCUGGGGCUGAAGUAGGUCCCAAGGGUAUGGCUGUUCGCCAUUUAAAGUGGUACGCGAGCUGGGUUUAGAACGUCGUGAGACAGUUCGGUCCCUAUCUGCCGUGGGCGCUGGAGAAUUGAGGGGGGCUGCUCCUAGUACGAGAGGACCGGAGUGGACGCAUCACUGGUGUUCGGGUUGUCAUGCCAAUGGCACUGCCCGGUAGCUAAAUGCGGAAGAGAUAAGUGCUGAAAGCAUCUAAGCACGAAACUUGCCCCGAGAUGAGUUCUCCCUGAGACUAUAAGUCUCCUGAAGGAACGUUGAAGACGACGACGUUGAUAGGUCGGGUGUGUAAGCGCAGCGAUGCGUUGAGCUAACCGAUACUAAUGAACCGUGAGGCUUAACCUU